RNAcentral lists this ribosomal RNA (1072 nucleotides) under Leptographium terebrantis. RNAcentral's name for it is "SSU rRNA". It matches the Rfam family "Bacterial small subunit ribosomal RNA", at positions 226 to 1331 of the family's 1533-position model. Lineage: Eukaryota; Fungi; Ascomycota; Sordariomycetes; Ophiostomatales; Ophiostomataceae. The record is from RNAcentral.
AGAUAAAUCAUAGAGAUAGGUAGUUGUUAAGGUAAUGGCUUAACUAGCCCAAGAUUCUCUUAGUCGAAACUGAAAUGGUUGAUCGACCACAUUGGGGCUGAAAAAAACCCAAUACAAGUGAGUACAGCAGUGGGGAAUAUUGGUCAAUGGCCUAACGGCUGAACUGGCAACUUGGAGGAAUGGCCUAUCUUACUAAGUAAUAGUAAGAAUUAGAGUGAAAUGAUGGUUAAAUCGAUUAUCGAAUAAAAUUCUAAAUAUAUAAAUUAUAAUGACUAUAUAUAUUUAUGUCUUGACUAAUUACGUGCCAGCAGUCGCGGUAAUACGUAAGAGACUAGUGUUACUCAUUUUUAAUAGGUUUAAAGGGUACCCAGACGGAAGAAAUUUGCCUGGAAAGGAACAAUUUCUAUCUAGAGUUAAUAUAAGAAGGUCGUACUUGUGGAAUAGAGAUGAAAUACUUUUAUACCUAAUAAGGGACUGGUAAAGGCGAAAGCAACCUUUUAUGUAAAAACUGACGUUGAAGGACGAAGGCUUAGAACAUGAAUAGGAUUAGAUACCCUAGUAGUCUUAGCAGAAAAUGAUGAAUGUCAUAGGUUAGGUUAUACUUAGUCCAUAAAUGAAAAUGUAAGCAUUUCACCUCAAGAGUAACGUGGCAACACGGAAACUGAAAUCACUAGACCGUUUCUGACAUCAGUAGUGAAGUAUGUUAUUUAAUUCGAUGAUCCACGAAAAACCUUACCACAAUUAGAAUUGUAUUUAUAAUAUUUAUAUUAUAAAUAUAACGAGUGUUGCACGGCUGUUUCCAGUUAAUGUUGUGAAACUAUGGCUUCGGCCAUGUAAUUAACGAAAACCCUUGCUUUAUUUAUAUAUUUUUUUUAUAAAGCUGCUUUUAUCACCAUACCGAUAAAAUAGUAGGGCCAAAGACAAGUCAUCAUGGCCUUUAUAUUGUGGGCUAUAGACGUGCCACAUAUUCCUAGACAAAGAGAUGCCAAAAUGCGAAUUUAAGCUAAUCUCAAAAAAUAGGAUAAAAUAGGAUAAGGAUUGUAGUCUGAAACUCGACUACAUGAAUAAGUAA